This 572-nucleotide long non-coding RNA is filed under the name Homo sapiens (human). RNAcentral's name for it is "non-protein coding lnc-RBMS3-5:1". The record is from RNAcentral. Lineage: Eukaryota; Metazoa; Chordata; Mammalia; Primates; Hominidae.
CUUUCUUAUUGUUACAAGAUUUCAAAGGAGGGCUUCUCCUCAAAUUCUACACUGCGGAGCUCCCUUCCCACUCCACAGAAGCUCCGACAGCAUCCACAGUUGUCCAUGUGCAGCACAACAAAUCAAGCCAGGCAGAUCUCCCAUUGGCACUAGUUACCAACUUCCUAGAGAAACCCAUCAAUCUCAAAAUUCCUGCUCUAGCAAGUCCUGGAAAAGAGACUAGAGCCCAAAUGCCUUCACUCUGCCAAGGGAGCUUCCCUUUUUGUGUGUCUGUGCCAUGGACUUCUUGAAGUAGGGAAGCCUGUGGACCCCUUCUCACUGUGAUGUUUUUUAAAUGCAUAAAAUAGAACAUGGAGUAUUUCAAAGAAAACCAAUUACAUUGAAAUACAAUGACCAAAUAUUUUAAAAAUGAAUUUGUGUUAUAGUAAUAUAUGUUUCUAUAAUAAUGCUUUAAAUAACAAUAGCAGCAGAUCUAAACAAUUGAAAUGUCUAAAUGGUGAGCGUAAGUCACAUGCUGAGACGUCUGCAACAACAAACUCAUAGGUACAGCUGAUACUAGGAAAUAUUAAUUU